Molecule: ribosomal RNA, 468 nt
Filed under: uncultured bacterium
Lineage: Bacteria
Description: partial 16S ribosomal RNA
Rfam family: Bacterial small subunit ribosomal RNA
Source: RNAcentral
GACGAACGCUGGCGGCGUGCUUAACACAUGCAAGUCGAACGGAAAGGCCCUGCUUUUGUGGGGUGCUCGAGUGGCGAACUGGUGAGUAACACGUGAGUAACCUGCCCUUGACUUUGGGAUAACUUCAGGAAACUGGGGCUAAUACCGGAUAGGAGCUCCUGCUGCAUGGUGGGGGUUGGAAAGUUUCGGCGGUUGGUGAUGGACUCGCGGCUUAUCAGCUUGUUGGUGGGGUAGUGGCUUACCAAGGCUUUGACGGGUAGCCGGCCUGAGAGGGUGACCGGCCACAUUGGGACUGAGAUACGGCACAGACUCCUACGGGAGGCAGCAGAGGGGAAUAUUGCACAAUGGGCGGAAGCCUGAUGCAGCAAAGCAGCGUGCGGGAUGACGGCCUUCGGGUUGUAAACCGCUUUCGCCUGUGACGAAGCGUGAGUGACGGUAAUGGGUAAAGAAGCACCGGCUAACUACGUG